This 622-nucleotide ribosomal RNA is filed under the name uncultured bacterium. RNAcentral describes it as "bacterial SSU rRNA". It matches the Rfam family "Bacterial small subunit ribosomal RNA", at positions 202 to 842 of the family's 1533-position model. The record is from RNAcentral.
CAAAGGAGCAAUCCGCUGAAAGAUGGGCUCGCGUCCGAUUAGGUAGUUGGCGGGGCAACGGCCCACCAAGCCGACGAUCGGUAGCCGGACUGGGAGGUUGAACGGCCACAUUGGGACUGAGACACGGCCCAGACUCCUACGGGAGGCAGCAGUGAGGGAUAUUGGUCAAUGGGGGAAACCCUGAACCAGCAACGCCGCGUGAGGGAAGACGGUUUUCGGAUUGUAAACCUCUGUCCUCUGUGAAGAUGAUGACGGUAGCAGAGGAGGAAGCUCCGGCUAACUACGUGCCAGCAGCCGCGGUAAUACGUAGGGAGCAAGCGUUGUCCGGAUUUACUGGGUGUAAAGGGUGCGUAGGCGGCUUUGCAAGUCAGAAGUGAAAUCCAUGGGCUUAACCCAUGAACUGCUUUUGAAACUGCAGAGCUUGAGUGGAGUAGAGGUAGGCGGAAUUCCCGGUGUAGCGGUGAAAUGCGUAGAGAUCGGGAGGAACACCAGUGGCGAAGGCGGCCUGCUGGGCUCUAACUGACGCUGAGGCACGAAAGCGUGAGUAGCAAACAGGAUUAGAUACCCUGGUAGUCCACGCUGUAAACGAUGAUUACUAGGUGUGGGUGGACUGACCCCAUCC